GGAAAGCUCCAGCACAAAGGAGCGGCGCGGAGGGCAGAAGCGAGCGGAGCCGGCGCCCCCCAGCCCCAACCCGGCCCCCGGGAGCAGAAUCCUCACCAAGAAUAGGGCUCCUGCCAGUCCCCUCGCGGCCUCCACAGCGCAGAGCCACACAGGAUGGGGGGACAUUGCACGGCACUUGCAUAGCUGGUGACCACAGGUAGGAUCCCCAGGGAGGGGACACAGGCAGUACCAGCCCCAUGCUCUCCCACCCCUAGCAAGCUGGGAGGGCUCUGGGCAGCCAGGAGCCUUCCUGCCCAGGUUCCAGUGGUGUCCAGGGGGUCACA
RNAcentral lists this long non-coding RNA (323 nucleotides) under Lepidothrix coronata (blue-crowned manakin). Its description in RNAcentral is "lncRNA (ENSLCOG00000012463.1)". Lineage: Eukaryota; Metazoa; Chordata; Aves; Passeriformes; Pipridae. The record is from RNAcentral.